Molecule: long non-coding RNA, 533 nt
Organism: Salvia miltiorrhiza (redroot sage)
Lineage: Eukaryota; Viridiplantae; Streptophyta; Magnoliopsida; Lamiales; Lamiaceae
Exons: 3
Source: RefSeq, a predicted model, not a curated record
AUACUUGGAGUUAGAGUCAGAUUUUUUUUAACAAUGUUAACUCUAUCAAUUUGUUUAAGUUACACGACUUCCAAGGAAAAAAAGAGAGGAUAAUGAAGCACAAUAUUAUUUCUAAUUGAGAAGAGUCAUUUCCUUUCCUCCAUCCUCAGCCCGUCGACCUUCUUUCCCAAAAAGAAGAACCACCACUUUCUUCUUUCAAAUUAACCUCGUAGAGAAUUUCAGGUGAUAGCUGCAAAAUCUUGAAAGAAAAGGGUUCCAGCUAGGAACGAGCGUGACACUAGGGUACAAGUGAGUAAAGGAGAUACAUCAGGUUAAGUUUGGAUGAAGAUGGAAGUGUGCUGAGCUGGAGCUUUUUGUUUAUGUAAAUAGUAAUAGGCUCAGGAUGUUGUGUCUUCAUACAUAAUGUCCCAUGAUGUACUCCGCUGCAACACUUUAUUUCUCUUAUCACUUUUGACGUGUUGUAGAAUGUUUUAAAAACCUUAACCUGUAUAUGAGCGUGAUAAGUCUUGGUUAUGAUAUUUAUUUGGUCUAAA